GACCGCGUAGCUCAGUUGGCAGAGCAUUGGGCUAGUAUUCCAAAGGUCGUAGGUUCGAAUCCCUCCAUGGCCA
Paramuricea clavata is the source of this 73-nucleotide non-coding RNA. NCBI's taxonomy places the organism in Eukaryota, Metazoa, Cnidaria, Anthozoa, Malacalcyonacea, Plexauridae. The record is from the annotation of a GenBank genome assembly.